CAGCUUAACACAUGCAAGUCGAGCGGGGAAGGUUGCUUCGGUAACUGACCUAGCGGCGGACGUGUGAGUAAUGCUUAGGAAUCUGCCAUUUAGUGGGGGACAACAUUCCGAAAGGAAUGCUAAUACCGCAUACGUCCUACGGGAGAAAGCAGGGGAUCUUCGGACCUUGCGCUAAAUGAUGAGCCUAAGUCGGAUUAGCUAGUUGGUGGGGUAAAGGCCUACCAAGGCGACGAUCUGUAGCGGGUCUGAGAGGAUGAUCCGCCACACUGGGACUGAGACACGGCCCAGACUCCUACGGGAGGCAGCAGUGGGGAAUAUUGGACAAUGGGCGGAAGCCUGAUCCAGCCAUGCCGCGUGUGUGAAGAAGGCCUUAUGGUUGUAAAGCACUUUAAGCGAGGAGGAGGCUACCAGUAUUAAUACUACUGGAUAGUGGACGUUACUCGCAGAAUAAGCACCGGCUAACUCUGUAGCCAGCAGCCGCGGUAAUACAGAGGGUGCGAGCGUUAAUCGGAUUUACUGGGCGUAAAGCGUGCGUAGGCGGCUUUUUAAGUCGGAUGUGAAAUCCCCGAGCUUAACUUGGGAAUUGCAUUCGAUACUGGGAAGCUAGAGUAUG
Molecule: ribosomal RNA, 613 nt
Filed under: uncultured bacterium
Lineage: Bacteria
Description: bacterial SSU rRNA
Rfam family: Bacterial small subunit ribosomal RNA
Source: RNAcentral